Molecule: non-coding RNA, 148 nt
Organism: Klebsiella pneumoniae subsp. pneumoniae
Lineage: Bacteria; Pseudomonadati; Pseudomonadota; Gammaproteobacteria; Enterobacterales; Enterobacteriaceae
Source: Rfam
GUCGACGCAAACCGGAACCUCCAUCAACAGAUUGCGCAAUACUGAGGGACGUCGACGUCGGGGGAAACCCUCUCGCGAACCAGCGAGAUAAUGCGAAAGACCAAGACCGGAAAACAACUAAAGCGCCCAGUUGUGGCGCUUUAGUUUU